RNAcentral lists this ribosomal RNA (497 nucleotides) under uncultured bacterium. RNAcentral's name for it is "partial 16S ribosomal RNA". It matches the Rfam family "Bacterial small subunit ribosomal RNA", at positions 28 to 507 of the family's 1533-position model. The record is from RNAcentral.
GAUGAACGCUGGCGGCGUGCCUAAUACAUGCAAGUCGAGCGAACGGACGAGAAGCUUGCUUCUCUGAUGUUAGCGGCGGACGGGUGAGUAACACGUGGAUAACCUACCUAUAAGACUGGGAUAACUUCGGGAAACCGGAGCUAAUACCGGAUGAUAUUUUGAACCGCAUGGUUCAAAAGUGAAAGACGGUCUUGCUGUCACUUAUAGAUGGAUCCGCGCUGCAUUAGCUAGUUGGUAAGGUAACGGCUUACCAAGGCAACGAUGCAUAGCCGACCUGAGAGGGUGAUAGGCAACACUGGAACUGAGACACGGUCCAGACUCCUACGGGAGGCAGCAGUAGGGAAUCUUCCGCAAUGGGCGAAAGCCUGACGGAGCAACGCCGCGUGAGUGAUGAAGGUCUUCGGAUCGUAAAACUCUGUUAUUAGGGAAGAACAUAUGUGUAAGUAACUGUGCACAUCUUGACGGUACCUAAUCAGAAAGCCACGGCUAACUACGUG